Molecule: ribosomal RNA, 393 nt
Filed under: Chrysophyceae sp.
Lineage: Eukaryota; Chrysophyceae
Description: partial small subunit ribosomal RNA
Rfam family: Eukaryotic small subunit ribosomal RNA
Source: RNAcentral
AUUCCAGCUCCAAUAGCGUAUACUAAAGUUGUUGCAGUUAAAAAGCUCGUAGUUGAAUUUCUGGGUGUGAUAGGCGGUCCGUGUGCAUAACAUGUGUACCUCCCUCUCAUGCCCAUCCUCGAAGUGAAUAUGCAUUGCCUUAACUGUGUCGUGUAUAGGACCUUCGUCAUUUACUGUGAGCAAAAUAGAGUGUUCAAAGCAGGCUUAUGCCGUUGAAUAUAUUAGCAUGGAAUAAUAAGAUAGGCUCUUGAGUGCUACUUUGUUGGUUUAUACACUUAGAGAAUGAUUAACAGGGACAGUUGGGGGUAUUCAUAUUUACAUGUCAGAGGUGAAAUUCUUGGAUUUAUAGAAGACGAACUACUGCGAAAGCAUUUACCAAGGAUGUUUUCAUCA